This 1419-nucleotide ribosomal RNA is filed under the name uncultured archaeon. RNAcentral describes it as "16S ribosomal RNA". It matches the Rfam family "Archaeal small subunit ribosomal RNA". The record is from RNAcentral.
CCACUGCUAUCGGGAUAGGACUAAGACAUGCUAGUCGAGUGCUUCAGCACGAGGCACGGCGAACAGCUCAGUAGCACGUGGCUAAUCUGCCCUUAGGACGAGAAUACCCCCGGGAAACUGGGGAUAAUUCGCGAUAGGCGAAGAACACUGGAAUGUGUCUUCACCUAAAAGACCCUGCGUAUUGCUCGUAGAAGUCGCCUAAGGACGAGGCCGCGGCCGAUCAGGUUGUUGGUGAGGUAAUGGCUCACCAAGCCUUUUACCGGUGCGGGCCGUGGGAGCGGGAGCCCGGAGAUGGGUACUGAGACAAGGACCCAGGCCCUACGGGGCGCAGCAGUCGCGAAACCUUUGCAAUACACGAAAGUGUGACAGGGCUAUCCCGAGUGCCAUCCGCUGAGGAAGGCUUUUACCCAGUUUAGAAAGCCGGGAGAAUAAGGAGAGGGCAAGUCUGGUGUCAGCCGCCGCGGUAAUACCAGCUCUUCGAGUGGUGUGGAUGUUUAUUGGGCCUAAAGCAUCCGUAGCUGGCUAGGUUAGUCCCUUGUUAAAUCCACCAAAUUAAUCGUUGGAUCGCGGGGGAUACUGCUUGGCUAGGGGACGAGAGAGGCAGACGGUAUUUUUGGGGUAGGGGUGAAAUCCUAUAAUCCCAGGAAGACCACCAGUGGCGAAGGCUGUCUGCUAGAACGCGCCCGACGGUGAGGGAUGAAAGCUGGGGGAGCGAACCGGAUUAGAUACCCGGGUAGUCCCAGCUGUAAACGAUGCGGGCUAGGUGUUGGGAUGGCUACGUGCCAUUUCAGUGCCGCAGGGAAGCCAUUAAGCCCGCCGCCUGGGGAGUACGGCCGCAAGGCUGAAACUUAAAGGAAUUGGCGGGGGAGCACCACAAGGCGUGAAGCUUGCGGUUCAAUUGGAGUCAACGCCGGGAACCUUACCGGGGGCGACAGCAGAAUGAUGACCAGAUUGAAGGUCUUGUUUGACAAGCUGAGAGGAGGUGCAUGGCCGUCGCCAGUUCGUGCCGUGAGGUGUCCUGUUAAGUCAGGCAACGAUCGAGACCCACGCCUUUAGUUGCUACCGAGGAAAUUUUCCGAGGGGCACUCUAGAGGGACUGCCGUCGACAAGACGGAGGAAGGAGUGGGCUACGGCAGGUCAGUAUGCCCCGAAUCCCCCGGGCUACACGCGAGCUGCAAUGGCAGAGACAAUGGGUUCCGACCCUGAAAAGGGAAGGCAAUCUCGAAACUCUGCCUCAGUUUGGAUCGAAGGCUGGAACCCGCCUUCGUGAAAAUGGAAUGCCUAGUAAUCGCGCGUCAUCAACGCGCGGUGAAUACGUCCCCGCUCCUUGCACACACCGCCCGUCGCUCCAUCCGAGUGGGGUUUGGGUGAGGCGUGGUCUUAUUGGCUGCGUCGAAUCUGAGUUCCGCAAGGAGGGAG